Molecule: transfer RNA, 73 nt
Filed under: Limihaloglobus sulfuriphilus
Lineage: Bacteria; Pseudomonadati; Planctomycetota; Phycisphaerae; Sedimentisphaerales; Sedimentisphaeraceae
Description: Phycisphaerae bacterium SM-Chi-D1 tRNA
Rfam family: tRNA
About the family: Transfer RNA (tRNA) molecules are approximately 80 nucleotides in length.
Source: Rfam by way of RNAcentral
GCCGGUGUAGCUCAAUUGGUAGAGCACUGGUUUUGUAAACCAGGGGUUGGGAGUUCAAGUCUCUUCGCCGGCA